RNAcentral lists this long non-coding RNA (513 nucleotides) under Pan paniscus (pygmy chimpanzee). RNAcentral's name for it is "lncRNA (ENSPPAG00000045349.1)". The record is from RNAcentral. Lineage: Eukaryota; Metazoa; Chordata; Mammalia; Primates; Hominidae.
GGGCAGUUGCCUUGAGAGGCCCACCGCCUGCUGGCAUGACAGAUGGUCAGUUCUUCCGAGCAGUGGAAUCUCCAUGGAGUCGUGGAGUCGGUGUGGCCUCGCAUCCACAGUGCACCCCGUGCUGGUGGAUGGCUCAGGACGGGGCAGUUGCCGUGGGAGGCCUGCCGUCUGCUGAAAGGAAGAUGGUUGAUGCUUCUGAGCAAUGAAGGCCCCAUGGAGUCCUGGAUUCGGUGUGGCCUUGCAUCCGUGGUGCACCCCAUGCUGGUGGAUGGCUCAGGACGGGGCAGUUGCCAUGGGAGGCGCAGGCCUGCUGGAAGGAAGAUGGUCGAUUCUCCCAAGCAACAAAGGCCACGUAGAGUCCUGGUUUCAGUGUGGCCUGGUAUCCACAGUGCACCCCGUGCUGGUGGGUGGCUCAGGACGCACACUCAUUUCCUCUGCACCUUCCCGGUGUCAUUGGCAUGGAAGGAAGGCCCUUGUCCAAGAAGGAUGGUCUUCGUCUUGUGUGAUCUUUGA